This 801-nucleotide ribosomal RNA is filed under the name uncultured bacterium. RNAcentral's name for it is "bacterial SSU rRNA". It matches the Rfam family "Bacterial small subunit ribosomal RNA", at positions 68 to 888 of the family's 1533-position model. The record is from RNAcentral.
UGAUGGAGGAGCUUGCUCUUCCUGAUUAGUGGCGCACGGGUGAGUAUACCAUAGAUAAUGUACCCCUUAGUUCGGGAUAGCCACUGGAAACGGUGAUUAAUACCGGAUACUCCUUCUUGUCUUAAGGCAAGUCGGGAAAGUUUUUUCGCUAAGGGAUCAGUCUAUGUCCUAUCAGCUUGUUGGUGAGGUAAUGGCUCACCAAGGCUAUGACGGGUAUCUGGUUUGAGAGGAUGAUCAGACACACUGGAACUGAGACACGGUCCAGACUCCUACGGGAGGCAGCAGUGAGGAAUAUUGCACAAUGGAGGAAACUCUGAUGCAGCAACGCCGCGUGGAGGAUGACGCAUUUCGGUGUGUAAACUCCUUUUAUUAGGGAAGAUUAUGACGGUACCUAAUGAAUAAGCACCGGCUAACUCCGUGCCAGCAGCCGCGGUAAUACGGAGGGUGCAAGCGUUACUCGGAAUCACUGGGCGUAAAGGGUGCGUAGGCUGGCUUCUAAGUCAGAUGUGAAAUCCAAUGGCUCAACCAUUGAACUGCAUUUGAAACUGGGAGCCUAGAGUUCAGAAGGGGCAGAUGGAAUUAGUGGUGUAGGGGUAAAAUCCGUAGAUAUCACUAGGAAUAUCAAAAGCGAAGGCGAUCUGCUGGGAUGAUACUGACGCUGAGGCACGAAAGCGUGGGGAGCAAACAGGAUUAAAUACCCUGGUAGUCCACGCCCUAAACGAUGAAUGCUAGUCGUCGGGGAGCUCGUCUCUUCGGUGAUGCACUUAACAGAUUAAGCAUUCCGCCUGGGGAGUACGGUCG